This 588-nucleotide ribosomal RNA is filed under the name uncultured bacterium. RNAcentral describes it as "bacterial SSU rRNA". It matches the Rfam family "Bacterial small subunit ribosomal RNA", at positions 331 to 929 of the family's 1533-position model. The record is from RNAcentral.
CCAGACUCCUACGGGAGGCAGCAGUGGGGAAUAUUGCACAAUGGGCGGAAGCCUGAUGCAGCAACGCCGCGUGCGGGAUGACGGCCUUCGGGUUGUAAACCGCUUUCGCCUGUGACGAAGCGUGAGUGACGGUAAUGGGUAAAGAAGCACCGGCUAACUACGUGCCAGCAGCCGCGGUGAUACGUAGGGUGCGAGCGUUGUCCGGAUUUAUUGGGCGUAAAGGGCUCGUAGGUGGUUGAUCGCGUCGGAAGUGUAAUCUUGGGGCUUAACCCUGAGCGUGCUUUCGAUACGGGUUGACUUGAGGAAGGUAGGGGAGAAUGGAAUUCCUGGUGGAGCGGUGGAAUGCGCAGAUAUCAGGAGGAACACCAGUGGCGAAGGCGGUUCUCUGGGCCUUUCCUGACGCUGAGGAGCGAAAGCGUGGGGAGCGAACAGGCUUAGAUACCCUGGUAGUCCACGCUGUAAACGGUGGGUACUAGGUGUGGGGUCCAUUCCACGGGUUCCGCGCCGUAGCUAACGCUUUAAGUACCCCGCCUGGGGAGUACGGCCGCAAGGCUAAAACUCAAAGGAAUUGACGGGGGCCCGCACAAG